GUUCUUUCCUGCAUCUUAUUUCUUCUGCCUAGCCCUGAGUCUGUCUACAGAGAGAGGCUGGAGACAUGAUGGGUGGGUCUCCUCCAGCUCCCCCUUUCCUCCAGUCUAAGGGGGCUUCCCUUGUGGUGGGCUCUUGGAUACCCAAGUACAUGUGUUGCCAGUGCUGAUUAGUCACACGGCGUGUAGCUGUGGUGGCUGUCAGAGCCUGGCAUGGAGACUUGUUUUCUGGUUCUGCUAAUGAACCAAGCUUGAGCCAAGGAAGACAGAUUAUUCCUGAUUUGUUUAUAAGCUUACAGGAGAGUGGAAACAAUCUCUCCAGCCAAGCCUCCUUGGGCCAGUUGAAGUGAAACCAAGGAUUGUCCACUUAUCUCAGUAAUUAAGGCGCAAAGAGACCCAUACUGUUUGGGUCUGACUUUUCCAAAUCUGAGGGAAGAUGGUUUUAGCAAAUUCAGUGUGUACCAGGUCUUUGAUUCAUUGUGGUCAUUCAGUCGUUUCUGAGUCAUUGCUGGACAGCAGAAGCAGACAGCUGAAGCACAGGUCAGAAAACCAUAAUGUGCUGAGCAGCAUUACAGCUUGUUUUGCUUAAUAUUUAUUCUUAAAACAUGACUUCAUUUCAGGUACAAGUCCAGUGUGUUUGCUGUAACAAGUUAGCGCGAUGAAAUAUGGAAAAACCUAUUUGCCUCUGUCUUCACAAUUUGCACAAAGCCCCUUUCUGGUGAGGAUUGCGUUGCACUGAUCUCUACACAUUUUCCCGGCAUGCAGUGCUGUUUGGCCCUUUAUGGGAUGGGCACAAAGACCCUGUGUCUACCUUCCCAGUGAGCUGCAUAAGAGACUAGGCACAGUGGAGACACAUACAAGGCAUCUACUGGGCACCGACCACAUGCCAGGCAUAACCGUGGGAUCCAGGCAGACAAUAGGGAACUGUAAAAUGCCCUGUCUUCAGAGAAGACAAAUGCCAGGAGAUGGGAAGAGCUAAGAUGGAGGAUGAUCAGGUGAGUGUGGAGAGGUUACAGCCCCAGCGUGUGGUCUCCUGGAAUGGCCAGGAAGGCCUCUCUGAUGAAGUUUAAGCUGAGACCUGAAAGGAGUGAGGAGCUACAGGAGUGGCUGGGGAAGGAGUGUCCAGGCCUUCAGCAGGACUGAGGUUGGCUUGUAUGUGUAUAAAUAUAUACAUAAGUGUGUGUGUGUAUAAGUCAAUAUAGAUAUAUAAGUUG
This 1211-nucleotide long non-coding RNA is filed under the name Macaca mulatta (Rhesus monkey). RNAcentral's name for it is "lncRNA (ENSMMUG00000056368.1)". The record is from RNAcentral. Lineage: Eukaryota; Metazoa; Chordata; Mammalia; Primates; Cercopithecidae.